AACCUGAGAAGUCUGUGCUCAAAGUCUGAAUAAAGUCAGAAUUGUAUUGAAGUGUUUAAGAUAAAUAAGGAGCAGAAAAAAGGCAAAAUUGUGUUUGGAAAACAUCAAGAGGGAAGACCACAUUUGGGGGACUACAGGAACCAAAAUACGGAGUUUGAAUGUUUUUCCUAAGCACAAUGGAACCUGUGGAAGAUUUUUAGCAGUAUUCGCAAAAAAGCUCUUACAAUAUUCCAUUCUGUGAGAAGUUUCGACCAAAAAGUGAGUGUAACUCUGAUAACACUUAUUUAUAGAGCAGUUGGCUUUGAUGAACAAUGAACUGUUACUUGAUUUUACUCUUGGUUCAAGGACAUCCACAAGUGCUGUCAAAUUGAAAGCACACAAGUCACCUUCCUAAAGAGAGAUGCUUAGGCUGAGAGUAUGCCCAGGAUGGAAAGAGGAGACAAACACACGAAGUACCCAAUAGCAUUGUCUUCAAAGGACAGGCUCUGAUAGCCGCUGGAGGUGGCAUUGAAGAUUUAAUUUGGAAAGAUGUCAAGAAAACAAAGGAUUUCUCUCUGACCUCCUUUCCCCAAUGGAAAAGAUGAUAUCACUUCGAAGUUUCUUCUAAAACAAAGAAUAACUUUUCAAAAGUUUCCUUUGAAAUUGGAGUCAGUAAAGCUGAACAAAAAUAUCAUAAACACACCUAAUCUUUGUCCACUUCCCAAGCCUGUCCCAAUUUCUGAUGAAUGCUACACUCAGAACCAUUUCUCAUAUAAAGAGAACAUUUGCUAUUUAUUGGAAAAAGUUCCAUUUUUUUGACAAUGUACUGUAAUUCCUUGGGAGUAGGCUCCUAAAUUGUCAAUCUUGGCAUAUGAAAAAUUCAAACGAAUUAACAAUAAAAUUGUUAUAUUAGUCUGUUCUCACACUGCUGUGAAGAAACAUCAGAGACUGGGUAACUUAGAAAGGAAAGAGGUUUACAUGACUCACAGUUCUGCGUUGCUGGGGAGGCCUCAGAAACUUACAAUAAUGGCAGAAGGCAAAACAGAAGCAGGCACCUUACUCACAGUGCAGCAGGAUGGAAUAAGUGCAAGCAAGGGAUACGCUGGAUGCUUAUAAAACCAUCAGAUCUCCUGAGAACUCACUCACUAUCAUGAGAACAGCAUGGGGGAACCGCCACCAUCAUCCAAUUACCUCCACCUGUUCCCGCCCUUGACACAUGGAGAUUAUGGGGAUUACAAAUCAAGGUGGUGAAGAAAUGACAUAUGACAAAGCACAACAGAAAAUAUUCCUGAGGGUAAGCCAUGGCGUUUCAUCAAUUAACAAUAAAGGAAGAAAGCAGGCCUAAAGCCUAUGAUGGAAAAAGAAAAUGGCAGAAGAGAUUGUGAACUUAAGUAAAGUAUUGUAGGUUCAGGAGUACAUGUGCAGAAUGUGCAGUGUUGUUACAUAGAUAAAUGUGUGUCAUGAUGGUUUGCUGCACGGAUCAUCUCAUCACCCAGGUAUUAAGCCCAGCAUCCAUUAGCUAUUCUUUCUUAUGCUCUCCCUUCUAAAAAGUGUUCUACCCUUCACCUUAAAAAAUGCCCCAGUGUGUGUUCUCCACCCCCAUCAUGUGUGCAUGUGUUCUCAUAAUUCAGCUCCCACUUAUAAGAGAGAGCAUGCAGCAUUUGGUUUUCUUUUCCUGCAUUAAUUUGCUGAUAAUAAUGGCUUCCAUGACCUUGCAAAGGACAUGAUUUUGUUCCUUUUUAUGGCUGCAUAGUAUGUAUAUGUACCACAUUUCCUUUAUCCAGUCUAUCAUUUGAUGGGCAUUUAGGUUGAUUCCAUCUCUUUGCAAUUGUGAAGAGUGCUGCAAUAAAUAUACACAUGCAUGUAUCUUUAUAAUAAAAAGAUUUAUAUUCCUUUGGUUAUAUAUCCAGUAAUUGGGAUUGCUGGGUCGAAUCGUAUUUCUGCCUCUAGGUCUUUGAGGAAUGGCCACACUGUCUUCUACAAUGGUUGAGCUAAUUUACACUCCCACCAAUAGUGCAUAAGUAUUCCCUUUUCUCGGCAACCUCACCAUCAUCUGCUAUUAUUUUUUUUGACUUUUUAGUAAUAGCCAUUCUAACUGGUGUUAGAUGGUAUCUGAUUAUGGUUUUGAUUUGCAUUUCACUAAUAAUCAGUGAUGUUGAGCUUUUCUUCAUGUAUUUGCUGGCCACAUGUAUGUCCUCUUUUGAGAAGUGUCUGUUCAUGUCCUUUGCCCACUUUUUAAUGUGGUUGUUUGGUGGUUUUUUUCUUGUAAAUUGUUUAAGCUUCAUGUAGAUGCUGGAUAUUAGACCUUUAUCAGGUGGAUAGAGUGCAAAAAUUUUCUUCCGCUCUUUACAUUGUCUGUUUCCUCUGUUGAUAGUUUCUUUUGCUGUGCAGAAACUCUUUUGUUUAAUUAAAUCCCAUUUGUCAAUUUUUGCUUUUGUUCCAAUUGCUUUUGGCAUCUUCGUCAUGAAAUCUUUGCCUGUGCCUAUAUCCUGAAUAGAAUUGCCUUUGUUUUCUUAUAGGGUUUUUAUAGUUUUGGGUUUUACAUUGAAGUCUUUAAACCAUAUUGAGUUAAUUUCUGUAUAAGUUGUAAGGAAUGGGUCCUGUUUCAAUUUUCUGCAUAUAGCUAGGCAGUUCUUUCUGUACCAUUUAUUAAACAGGGAAUCUUUUCCCCAUUGCUUGUUUUUGUCAGAUUUGUCAAAGAUCAGAUGGUUGUCAGUGUGUAGUCUUAUUUCUGCGUUCUCUAUUCUGUUCCAUUGAUCUGUGUGUCUGUUCUUGUACCAGUAUCAUGCUGUUUUGAUUACUGUAGCCCUGUAGUAUAGUUUGAAUUCAGAUAGCAUGAUGCCUUCAGCUUCGUUCUUUUUGCUUAGAAUAGCCUUGGCUAUUUGGGCUCUUUUUUUGUUUUCAUAGGUAUUAUAAAACAGUUUUUUCUAAUUCUAUGAGGAAUGUCAAUGGUAGUUUAACAGGAACAGCACUGAAUCUAUAAAUUACUUCAGGCAGUAUGGCCAUUUUCACAAUAUUGAUUCUUCCUAUUCAUGAACGUGAACUUUUUUGUGUUUACUUUUGUCAUCCCUGACUCCUCUGAGCAGAGCUUUGUAGUUACCUUGUAGAGAUAUUUCACAUCCUUUGUUAGCUGUAUUCCUAUGUGUUUUAUUCUGUUUGUGAUGAUUGUGAUUGGGAGUUCAUUUGUGAUUUGACUCUCAACUUGACUCUUGUUGGUGUACAGGAAUGCUAACAAUGUUUGC
RNAcentral lists this long non-coding RNA (3221 nucleotides) under Homo sapiens (human). RNAcentral describes it as "non-protein coding LINC02263:19". Lineage: Eukaryota; Metazoa; Chordata; Mammalia; Primates; Hominidae. The record is from RNAcentral.